GGGCAUAAAUAUCGAAAUCCGAAAAACCGGACCGAACCGAAUUAAUUCGGUUUUUCGGUGUUCGGGUUUUCGGAUUUUCGGUUCGGAUUCGGUUUCACUUUUUAAAAAAUUCGGGAUUCGGUUCGGUGUUCGGGAUUUAGUAUUCGGGUUUUCGGUUUAAACCGAAAUAUUAUGUCUUAGCCCAAAAUUAUUAAUAGUCCAAGCCCAUGCCCUAUUUAAUUUAAGCCCAAACGAAAAUAACCCAAGCCCACUUCAUUCUUUUCAUCUUUUGUAUCAAUCAGACAUAACGUAUCAAUGUAUCAAUCCCUAAUUUCACUUCUCAUUUCUCAAAGCUUCAGAGCUUGGUUCACUGCAACAAAAAAAAAAAAAAAAAGCUUCAGAGCUCAAAGUUUGCUCUUCCAAGCUCGGCGGCGGUGACUGCUCUUCCAAGCUCGGCAGCGACUUCUCUUUCAAGUUCCGACGGCGACAGAGUAAGUAUUUCUCUCUCUCACACUUCUCCUAAUCGACUUCAUCUGUUCUUUCACUAGUUGAUGUGAGCUUCUUGCUACUGUUUUGAUUGUUGUAACAUGAUAUGUGGUGGUUGUGAAUUUGUUGUAAUUAAAUGAGUAGUUGUUUGAGAUCUGAAAACUGAAUUGAAAACUGAAAACUACUGCUGCUGUUGUUAAAAAUGCUGACACCUUAUCUAAAUUAGUUAUGAUUCUUAUUGCUUUCAAAGAUAAGUAUGACCAUUUUCAGUUUAUUUAUUCAUGUUUUAGGAUUCAGUAUUGACAUAUAAUUUAAUUUAACAUAGCAACUACUUCUCCAGCUUCCGAAUUGGACCCCGCAUAGGAUUUUUUUUUCCAGUAAAUUAUAUUGCUUCAGUGUAUUACUUCCAUGUCAAACGUUCAUAGGCAUUAUUUACAAUCCAAUCUGGAAAAGCAUAAUUCCAAUAAACACUAGAUAAGAGGACAAUAGAGAAUUUAGCUAGAUCAUAGGUUAGCACAUUCCAUGUUCGAGAAAUAUGUACAAGCUUUAUAUAUCUGCUCACCAACUUUUAUGAAAAGAGUCGAUUUAAGAAAGAACUGAUUUGACCAAAGAGAAUCUGGAAGCUAGAUGCAUGAAAUCUAUAUAUCUUCCAAUCUCUUAUUUGUGUUCAAGAUUGGCUUAGGAAAGAGACUAAAUCUAUUAGUGUGGAAGAAAGUUUGGAUCAUCUUGAGGAACUUGAACUUGACAUGGCAAAUAGUGGAAGAGAUCCUUGCAUUGUUGAUGUAUGAUUGCAAUUUGCUUCUUUGUUACUAGUGUUCAACCAUGCCUUCUAGAGCUCGCUCACAAGUUUGGGAACAUUUUGUGCGGUGCGAUACUUAAUUGUAAUAGAGCAAAUGACACAUCUAGCUUAAUGAAGCAUAUUAAGAGAUGUCUUGACUCUUGAAGAUAGGCGGAUUCACCUUCAACUUUAAGCUUAUGUUUUGAAUUUUGGUAAAUUUCGGACUUAAUUAUGAUUGUUAUGUGAGACGACGGAUUUAACACUUGGUGUUACAACUUAUGUUUUGUAUUUGGAGCUAAAAUUUAGGACAUUUAUGUUGUUUGGCCGUUUGGCUGCUGCUCAUUUUAUCGUUAUGUUGUUUGUGUUGCUUGUUUUUGUCU
This is a long non-coding RNA of Lycium barbarum (goji berry), 1623 nucleotides long. RefSeq lists it as uncharacterized. The transcript has 3 exons. Lineage: Eukaryota; Viridiplantae; Streptophyta; Magnoliopsida; Solanales; Solanaceae. The record is from RefSeq and is a predicted model, not a curated record.